RNAcentral lists this ribosomal RNA (253 nucleotides) under uncultured bacterium. Its description in RNAcentral is "partial 16S ribosomal RNA". It matches the Rfam family "Bacterial small subunit ribosomal RNA", at positions 524 to 776 of the family's 1533-position model. The record is from RNAcentral.
UACGUAGGGUGCAAGCGUUAAUCGGAAUUAUUGGGCGUAAAGCGUGCGCAGGCGGCUUUGCAAGACAGAUGUGAAAUCCCCGGGCUCAACCUGGGAACUGCAUUUGUGACUGCAUCGCUCGAGUGUGGCAGAGGGGGAUGGAAUUCCGCGUGUAGCAGUGAAAUGCGUAGAUAUGCGGAGGAACACCGAUGGCGAAGGCAAUCCCCUGGGCCUGCACUGACGCUCAUGCACGAAAGCGUGGGGAGCAAACAGG